This 872-nucleotide ribosomal RNA is filed under the name Staphylococcus aureus. RNAcentral's name for it is "partial 23S ribosomal RNA". It matches the Rfam family "Bacterial large subunit ribosomal RNA", at positions 582 to 1461 of the family's 2925-position model. The record is from RNAcentral. Lineage: Bacteria; Bacillati; Bacillota; Bacilli; Caryophanales; Staphylococcaceae.
CGUUAAUGGGUGAUGGCGUGCCUUUUGUAGAAUGAACCGGCGAGUUACGAUUUGAUGCAAGGUUAAGCAGUAAAUGUGGAGCCGUAGCGAAAGCGAGUCUGAAUAGGGCGUUUAGUAUUUGGUCGUAGACCCGAAACCAGGUGAUCUACCCUUGGUCAGGUUGAAGUUCAGGUAACACUGAAUGGAGGACCGAACCGACUUACGUUGAAAAGUGAGCGGAUGAACUGAGGGUAGCGGAGAAAUUCCAAUCGAACCUGGAGAUAGCUGGUUCUCUCCGAAAUAGCUUUAGGGCUAGCCUCAAGUGAUGAUUAUUGGAGGUAGAGCACUGUUUGGACGAGGGGCCCCUCUCGGGUUACCGAAUUCAGACAAACUCCGAAUGCCAAUUAAUUUAACUUGGGAGUCAGAACAUGGGUGAUAAGGUCCGUGUUCGAAAGGGAAACAGCCCAGACCACCAGCUAAGGUCCCAAAAUAUAUGUUAAGUGGAAAAGGAUGUGGCGUUGCCCAGACAACUAGGAUGUUGGCUUAGAAGCAGCCAUCAUUUAAAGAGUGCGUAAUAGCUCACUAGUCGAGUGACACUGCGCCGAAAAUGUACCGGGGCUAAACAUAUUACCGAAGCUGUGGAUUGUCCUUUGGACAAUGGUAGGAGAGCGUUCUAAGGGCGUUGAAGCAUGAUCGUAAGGACAUGUGGAGCGCUUAGAAGUGAGAAUGCCGGUGUGAGUAGCGAAAGACGGGUGAGAAUCCCGUCCACCGAUUGACUAAGGUUUCCAGAGGAAGGCUCGUCCGCUCUGGGUUAGUCGGGUCCUAAGCUGAGGCCGACAGGCGUAGGCGAUGGAUAACAGGUUGAUAUUCCUGUACCACCUAUAAUCGUUUUA